Molecule: unclassified non-coding RNA, 222 nt
Filed under: Glomus sp.
Lineage: Eukaryota; Fungi; Glomeromycota; Glomeromycetes; Glomerales; Glomeraceae
Description: partial contains 5.8S ribosomal RNA and internal transcribed spacer 2
Rfam family: 5.8S ribosomal RNA (bases 1-71)
Source: RNAcentral
GUGAAUCAUCAAAUCUUUGAACGCAAAUUGCACUUUCUGGUAUUCCGGAAAGUAUGCCUGUUUGAGGGUCAGUUAAACCUAAAUCGGCGUUGUUGCUGCUUUUGGCGGUGACGCGUCGGAAUUGAGUUGUCUUUCCUUCGCUUUAGUGACUUACAAUUUUGCAUGAAUUUCGACCGUAUUUAAAUCUCGUAGGUACGUUUGAGAUAUCGCAUACUUUAUUUG